This 70-nucleotide transfer RNA is filed under the name Alosa alosa (allis shad). Its description in RNAcentral is "tRNA-OTHER". Lineage: Eukaryota; Metazoa; Chordata; Actinopteri; Clupeiformes; Clupeidae. The record is from RNAcentral.
GGCAUGGUGGAGCAGUGGUAAUGUCACCGACUGACUAUCGGUUGACCUGGGUUCCAUUCCCGCUCUACCG